RNAcentral lists this ribosomal RNA (447 nucleotides) under uncultured bacterium. RNAcentral describes it as "bacterial SSU rRNA". It matches the Rfam family "Bacterial small subunit ribosomal RNA", at positions 330 to 793 of the family's 1533-position model. The record is from RNAcentral.
UCCAGACUCCUACGGGAGGCAGCAGUGGGGGAUAUUGCACAAUGGGGGGAACCCUGAUGCAGCGACGCCGCGUGGGUGAAGGAGCGUUUCGGCGCGUAAAGCCCUAUCGGCAGGGAAGAAGGAGGACGGUACCUGACUAAGAAGCCCCGGCUAACUACGUGCCAGCAGCCGCGGUAAUACGUAGGGGGCAAGCGUUAUCCGGAUUUACUGGGUGUAAAGGGGGCGCAGACGGCGGCGCAAGCCAGGAGUGAAAGCCCGGGGCCCAACCCCGGGACUGCUCUUGGAACUGCGCGGCUGGAGUGCAGGAGGGGCAGGCGGAACUCCUGGUGUAGCGGUGAAAUGCGUAGAUAUCAGGAGGAACACCGGUGGCGAAGGCGGCCUGCUGGACUGCGACUGACGUUGAGGCCCGAAAGCGUGGGGAGCAAACAGGAUUAGAUACCCUGGUAA